GAAACAGAGACUUGAAGAGACCAGGUGACUUGUCAAGGCCAUACACUGCCUGGGGAGGCAGACCCUCAUGGCCACAGGAAGGCGGACCACAUCCCCUGGGGCCCUGGCGCAUGGCCGGCCACGGCUCCUCGCUCACCCCACAUCGACAUGCCACGGUCGUGUCUGGUCAUCCCCCGGAAACCCCAGGUUCCAGAGAGACCCCCGGAAGUCCCCUCCUCCACCGUGCCGGGGCAUGUGUUUGGGGGCCAGACAAAUCGGGCUCCCUCCUGGCUCAUCACCGGCUGUGUGGCCUCGGGCACGUCACUGCAGUUCGCUGAGCCCCACUGGCUUCCCCAUUCGUUUGGAGCAGCGGUCGCCAACCUUUUGGACCUCAUGGAGGAUGCCUAUUUAGCAAUGUCUGCCCUGCGCCGGGCUCUGGCAUAGCUCCUGGCGCUAUUGCAGUGGAGGCGAGACAAACCUCUGCCUUCGUGGGCUUUCAUUCUGGAGGAGGGAGAGGAGAGGCACCCGAGGCAAGCACAUCAUUCAGAAGUGGAGUGUUCACGAAGAAGAUGAAGCGAGGGGCGUGAUCGUCACUGGGGAGGGGCGGGAUGGGGGACCCCCAUGCCCUGCCCUGCCUCUUGGCCCCUCUCUGCCCACCGUCUCUCUCUGGUCCCAGGAAAAAGACAAGGACGCCCGCAAGCUUCACAGCAGGCAGGAGGAGGCAUCCCUCUCUCUCCCCUUCCUCCUCCGUACCCUCCCACCACAGCCCGUGAUUUUCCUGCCUUUAACAAGGCGAUUUUA
Long non-coding RNA from Eptesicus fuscus (big brown bat), 780 nucleotides. RefSeq lists it as uncharacterized. The record is from RefSeq and is a predicted model, not a curated record. The transcript has 3 exons. Lineage: Eukaryota; Metazoa; Chordata; Mammalia; Chiroptera; Vespertilionidae.